RNAcentral lists this ribosomal RNA (495 nucleotides) under uncultured bacterium. Its description in RNAcentral is "partial 16S ribosomal RNA". It matches the Rfam family "Bacterial small subunit ribosomal RNA", at positions 30 to 507 of the family's 1533-position model. The record is from RNAcentral.
UGAACGCUGGCGGCGUGCCUAAUACAUGCAAGUCGAGCGAACAGACGAGGAGCUUGCUCCUCUGACGUUAGCGGCGGACGGGUGAGUAACACGUGGAUAACCUACCUAUAAGACUGGGAUAACUUCGGGAAACCGGAGCUAAUACCGGAUAAUAUAUUGAACCGCAUGGUUCAAUAGUGAAAGACGGUUUUGCUGUCACUUAUAGAUGGAUCCGCGCCGCAUUAGCUAGUUGGUAAGGUAACGGCUUACCAAGGCGACGAUGCGUAGCCGACCUGAGAGGGUGAUCGGCCACACUGGAACUGAGACACGGUCCAGACUCCUACGGGAGGCAGCAGUAGGGAAUCUUCCGCAAUGGGCGAAGGCCUGACGGAGCAACGCCGCGUGAGUGAUGAAGGUCUUCGGAUCGUAAAACUCUGUUAUUAGGGAAGAACAAAUGUGUAAGUAACUAUGCACGUCUUGACGGUACCUAAUCAGAAAGCCACGGCUAACUACGUG